RNAcentral lists this long non-coding RNA (1092 nucleotides) under Mytilus galloprovincialis (Mediterranean mussel). Lineage: Eukaryota; Metazoa; Mollusca; Bivalvia; Mytilida; Mytilidae. The record is from RNAcentral.
GUUGUUUGUUAAAUCUCGAAUUUUCAGGCUCUUGUAUUUCAAUGUCAAAAAUCAUGUUUUCGAUAUAAUUCCAAUAGGCAUUUCUCAUCUCUUUCUGUAAUUGUGUUUUAAUUUGUUUGAAUUUUUUAGUAUGUUUGCUAUCAUGUUUUUUCUUUUUAUAAAAUUUGUUUUUCUUAUUUAUCAGUUUUUUCAAUUUUGAGUCUAUCCAUGGUAGGUGGGUUUUAUUUCCUAUUAGCUUAGUUGGUAUAUGCUUUUGGAUACUUUCUGUUGUUUUUGUUUUAAAGAAAUUCCACAUAUUGUCUAUAUCAAGUUCUAAUUUGUGUUUUUCCAUAUGUGUGUAUGUUUCUUUUAAGUCUUUUCCAAUUUUUUCCAAGUCUGCUUUCUUGUAAAUCAAUACUUUGUGUGGUGACUGUUUGGCUUUCGAAAGGGAAAGAUUUAUUUCACUGAAGAUUAUGUCAUGGUCACCUAGUGGUGGUAAUGUUUCUACUCUGUUUACUAGGGAUGGAUUUGACAUGCACAGUAGAUCAAGUGUGCGUUCAUUUCUUGUUGGUUUGUCAACUACCUGUGUGAGAUUGUGAUCUUGUAAUAUAUCUAAUAGGUGUUGAUGAAGAGAAGGAUCUGGUUUGCUAGGUAUUACUGAUGAAUUUGACCAGUCAAUAUUGCCUAAAUUGAAAUCGUCACUGAGCAUGAUAUUUGCACUGGAUAUGUUGCAUAUCCUAUUUAGUGAGGUACCUAGAUGUUCUAGUGAUUCCCCUUUGUCUGAUGGUGGUCUAUAAUAUGCUCCAAGAUAGGUGGUUUUAUUUCCCGUUGGAGUUAUUUUUGCCCAUAUUAAUUCGCAAUCUUUGUCUAAUUCAGGCACAUGUGAUGUAAUAAGUGUGUUUGUGAUUGCGAGUAGCACACCUCCAUAGCCAUCUUUCCUGUUUUUGGUGUAGAUGGUGUAUUUGGAUGGAGAAAUAUAUUCAUAUGCUGAUGUGUCAUUUGAAAGCCAGGUUUCAGUACCAAAUAUAACAUCAGGUUUGCAUGAGUCUAUCAUCUCAUCAAUUUCUGGCUUUUUGAUUGAUUGAAAAUUAAUAGUGAGUACACGGAGAGGUG